AGAACGAACGCUGGCGGCAGGCCUAACACAUGCAAGUCGAACGCCGUAGCAAUACGGAGUGGCAGACGGGUGCGUAACGCGUGGGAACAUACCCUUUGGUUCGGAAUAACUCAGGGAAACUUGAGCUAAUACCGGAUAAGCCCUUACGGGGAAAGAUUUAUCGCCGAAGGAUUGGCCCGCGUCUGAUUAGCUUGUUGGUGAGGUAAUGGCUCACCAAGGCGACGAUCAGUAGCUGGUCUGAGAGGAUGAUCAGCCACACUGGGACUGAGACACGGCCCAGACUCCUACGGGAGGCAGCAGUGGGGAAUAUUGGACAAUGGGCGAAAGCCUGAUCCAGCCAUGCCGCGUGAGUGAUGAAGGCCUUAGGGUUGUAAAGCUCUUUUACCCGGGAAGAUAAUGACUGUACCGGGAGAAUAAGCCCGGCUAACUUCGCGCCAGCAGCCGC
This 445-nucleotide ribosomal RNA is filed under the name uncultured bacterium. RNAcentral describes it as "SSU rRNA". It matches the Rfam family "Bacterial small subunit ribosomal RNA", at positions 26 to 518 of the family's 1533-position model. The record is from RNAcentral.